UGGGGAAUAUUGGGCAAUGGGGGAAACCCUGACCCAGCAACGCCGCGUGAAGGAAGAAGGCCUUCGGGUUGUAAACUUCUUUUAGUAGGGACGAAGAACGUGACGGUACCUACAGAAAAAGCAACGGCUAACUACGUGCCAGCAGCCGCGGUAAUACGUAGGUUGCAAGCGUUGUCCGGAUUUACUGGGUGUAAAGGGCGUGUAGGCGGAGAUGCAAGUUGGGAGUGAAAUACCGGGGCUCAACCCCGGAACUGCUUUCAAAACUGUAUCCCUUGAGUGUAGGAGAGGAAAGCGGAAUUCCUAGUGUAGCGGUGAAAUGCGUAGAUAUGAGGAGGAACACCAGUGGCGAAGGCGGCUUGCUGGGCCUUAACUGACGCUGAGGCACGAAAGCGUGGGUAGCAAACAGG
This 407-nucleotide ribosomal RNA is filed under the name uncultured prokaryote. RNAcentral describes it as "bacterial SSU rRNA". It matches the Rfam family "Bacterial small subunit ribosomal RNA", at positions 355 to 776 of the family's 1533-position model. RNAcentral also lists the same sequence under 1 other name. The record is from RNAcentral.